GCUCUCCAGCAGAUGGACCUGGGCAAUCUGACACUCAGAGGGUGAGAGUCCAUGAUGUGGGAGUGAAGGAACACCCGAGAGCUCACCUCUUGAUCUACAACCAGGAGGCACAGAAGUGCAGGCAUGCUGGGAAGUGCAGGAGCCUUUUGAAACCCCACAGCCCACACCCAGGGACACAUCUCCUCCAACAAGACACAAUACUUCCUAAACCUAAACACUCCUACUGAUUAGUGACCAAAUCCUCGACUAUAUGAAUGAGCUAAUGGGGCUAUUCUCUCUCAAACCAACUGCCCUUUUCAUCUUCUGUUAUCACUGCAGUGGCCUCUGUCUGUUAUCACUGCAGGGGGCUGAGGAUCCACCCACAGAAUUCUGCUGUUUCCUGAAAUUGCUGCAGUCUAGGAGGUAAAAUAGUAGCUACUCGUUUGGACAUUUAAUCCUUGUAUACUUUUGUGUAGGACAGCCUCUUUACUGAAAAACUAGAAUUGUGCUUCCUGCACGGUGCCUUGCUUAUAUCAAACAUGAAUAUCUAAUGUGUGAAGAAAUCACUAAGCACCUUAACCUAUGGGAGAGAAAUAUCAAAUAGCCAUUUUGAUUAUAUACAUUUGAAUUGUUAAGUGUUUUAAACACAAAGGAGCAUAGACUAUGAACUACUAACACUAAGUACCUAGAUUUAACAGACGAGGAACUUUGUCAUGUUUCACCUUCAGAAAAGGGAGGAUUGAAAAAUGCAAUACCAUUUUCCUUAUAAAAUAUUCUCCCAGGGAUGGAGAGGCGCUUCAGUGGUGAAGAGCACUUGCUGCUCUUAUAAAGGACCAGGGUUCUGAUCCUAGCACCCACAUGGUGGCUCACAAGCAUCUGCAG
RNAcentral lists this long non-coding RNA (861 nucleotides) under Mus pahari (shrew mouse). RNAcentral's name for it is "lncRNA (MGP_PahariEiJ_G0033051.1)". Lineage: Eukaryota; Metazoa; Chordata; Mammalia; Rodentia; Muridae. The record is from RNAcentral.